Molecule: long non-coding RNA, 497 nt
Filed under: Rattus norvegicus (Norway rat)
Lineage: Eukaryota; Metazoa; Chordata; Mammalia; Rodentia; Muridae
Description: long non-coding RNA NONRATT009766
Source: RNAcentral
UCCGUGAGCCCAAACAAAUCCUUUUUCCUUCACGACAUUUGAUCGGAUUUCUUAAGCACAGCUGUGCUAGAUUUCAGAGGCAGCACAAAGGGACAGAAGGCAGGAGGAGACCAGGGUGUGACCUCAGACAACAUGGUAACCGCGACAAGACGUCCAGGAAGAAGUGUUUGGAACUCACAUGUUAAUUUCUGCUGGCAUCUGAGGGAAAGGUUCAGUUGGGCGUCAUGGGUGAGUCUUCUACCAUAAAAGAGCCCAGAAGUCCAGAACACCUUAAUAAAUGUGCAAUGGAGACCUGAAGCUGUUAACUAAUGGCCGUGAAGAUACACGAAGCCUCUAUUAAAUGCCAGAUGUCCUCUCUGAUCUGCACAUUGUUCUGAGAUGGCUGUUAUGUCAUGCGGUGAGAACUGUGUACAGUGAUUUUACAGUGAGGAAACAAACCUGUGAUUUGAUGAAAGGAGAACCAUUUUAAAUUAUAGUUAUUAAAAUUAUAUAAAUCC